This 72-nucleotide transfer RNA is filed under the name Candidatus Blackburnbacteria bacterium. RNAcentral's name for it is "tRNA-Arg". It matches the Rfam family "tRNA". Rfam says of the family: Transfer RNA (tRNA) molecules are approximately 80 nucleotides in length. Their secondary structure includes four short double-helical elements and three loops (D, anti-codon, and T loops). Lineage: Bacteria; Candidatus Blackburniibacteriota. The record is from RNAcentral.
GCCCUUAUAGUUUAACGGACAGAACGGAGGUCUCCUAAACCUCAAAUUCAGGUUCGACUCCUGGUAAGGGCG